This 394-nucleotide unclassified non-coding RNA is filed under the name soil metagenome. RNAcentral's name for it is "partial contains 5.8S ribosomal RNA, internal transcribed spacer 2, and large subunit ribosomal RNA". The stretch from base 1 to 120 matches the Rfam family "5.8S ribosomal RNA", at positions 35 to 154 of the family's 154-position model. The record is from RNAcentral.
GAUGAAGGACGUAGCGAAAUGCGAUAAGUAAUGUGAAUUGCAGAUUUCAGUGAAUCAUCGAAUCUUUGAACGCACCUUGCGCUCCUUGGUAUUCCGAGGAGCAUGCCUGUUUGAGUGUCAUUAAAUUCUCAACUCUCCAACUGUUGUCAUGACUGGUGGUAGAGCUUGGACGUGAGGGUUCUGCCGGCUCCUUGUUGAGUCUGGCUCCCUUGAAAAUGAUUAGCGCAGCUUUGCACUGUCCGCUUCAGGUGUGAUAAUUUAUCUACGCCCGACUAGCGACGCGCAUGAAUGGCUUUGUGCUUCUAACCGUCUCGAAAGAGACAAUACCUUUUGAACUUGACCUCAAAUCAGGUAGGACUACCCGCUGAACUUAAGCAUAUCAAUAAGCGGAGGA